Molecule: ribosomal RNA, 750 nt
Filed under: Glutamicibacter nicotianae
Lineage: Bacteria; Bacillati; Actinomycetota; Actinomycetes; Micrococcales; Micrococcaceae
Description: bacterial SSU rRNA
Rfam family: Bacterial small subunit ribosomal RNA
Source: RNAcentral
GCUUGCUGGGUGGAUUAGUGGCGAACGGGUGAGUAACACGUGAGUAACCUGCCCCCGACUCUGGGAUAAGCCCGGGAAACUGGGUCUAAUACCGGAUAUGACCUCGCACCGCAUGGUGCGGGGUGGAAAGAUUUAUCGGUGGGGGAUGGACUCGCGGCCUAUCAGCUUGUUGGUGAGGUAAUGGCUCACCAAGGCGACGACGGGUAGCCGGCCUGAGAGGGUGACCGGCCACACUGGGACUGAGACACGGCCCAGACUCCUACGGGAGGCAGCAGUGGGGAAUAUUGCACAAUGGGCGCAAGCCUGAUGCAGCGACGCCGCGUGAGGGAUGACGGCCUUCGGGUUGUAAACCUCUUUCAGUAGGGAAGAAGCGAAAGUGACGGUACCUGCAGAAGAAGCGCCGGCUAACUACGUGCCAGCAGCCGCGGUAAUACGUAGGGCGCAAGCGUUAUCCGGAUUUAUUGGGCGUAAAGAGCUCGUAGGCGGUUUGUCGCGUCUGCCGUGAAAGUCCGAGGCUCAACCUCGGAUCUGCGGUGGGUACGGGCAGACUAGAGUGAUGUAGGGGAGACUGGAAUUCCUGGGUGUAGCGGGUGAAAUGCCGCAGAUAAUCAGGGAGGAACGACCGAUGGGCGAAGGCAGGGUCUCUCUGGGCAUUUUACUUGACCGCUGAAGGAGCGAAAGCAUGGGGGAGCCGAACCAGGGAUUUAGAAUACCCCUGGGUAGGUCCAUGCCCGUAAAACGUUGGGCAAC